GGUGUGAUUCUUGAGAGUUCUAGCCUAGGGAAGGGAGAUUUCAUGGCUGUGGUGUUAGGAGAGUCUUGUGCUGCUUCUGAUUUUGUUGUUUUUGUCACUGAUCGUUCCAUAUUAAGGUGAGUGCGUGACCAUGACUUAUUUAAGCAUUAAGAUUGUGUGAUUUGUGUUUAUUUGAUGUGUGGAUUGAUCUUCCUUGUUGUUUUAUGUGUUUCUGGUGUUUGUGUGGCUUUGUGUGGUUGUUCCUUUGUUGUGUCGUCAUGGGAGAUGAUGUGGUGGUGAUUUUAGGGUUCUUUGGUGGAUGAGAUCGUCAUUGGAUGUGUCCCAGGGUGUGGGUGUCGACCAACACCUGGACGGUAUUGAUCGACACCUGGACGGUAUUGAUCGACACCAUACGGUUGUUCGCAGUGCAGUUUUGUGAUGAUGUCGGGUGGUGGUGUUGACCGACACAAGUUGUGGUUGAUGGUGUCGACCGACAGCAGAUAUUGGUGUCGACCGACAGCAGAUAUUGGUGUCAACUAACACUAGUGUUCUGUGAGCACAAUUUGUGUUUUUGUUUGACUGGUUCGGUUGUUUUUGGUAUUAUCUUAUGUGUAUAGCCCAGUAGAUGGGAGGAGCACUUCACUGAAUAUUUGUGAUAAUACUCACGUAUCUCUUUGUGUUUGUGGUGUAGGUAAAGUGUGACGUGAAAUCGUGGCAAUGAUGAGGAGGAUGAUCUAGAGUCUCGAUUGUUUUGUUUAUGGUUAUGUUAUGAUGUUGGAACCUAGAUUAGAAGCAUGCUAGGUUGUUGGUGUAAAUUGU
RNAcentral lists this long non-coding RNA (798 nucleotides) under Capsella rubella. Its description in RNAcentral is "long non-coding RNA (CRUB_LNC005069)". The record is from RNAcentral. Lineage: Eukaryota; Viridiplantae; Streptophyta; Magnoliopsida; Brassicales; Brassicaceae.